AACGCAUCUUGCGCUCCUUGGUAUUCCGAGGAGCAUGCCUGUUUGAGUGUCAUUUAAACUCUCAAACCACAUCAUUCAUUUGACGUGGCUUUGGACAUGGGGGUUGCUGGCUUUCUUCUCAGAGAGGCCUGCUCCCCUGAAAAGCAUUAGUGGUAUCUGGAGUGGAAAACCGCUAGGUGUGAUAAUACUGUCUAUGCCUUUGGUUAUGCCACAAUGUGCUGCUUCCAACCACACAUUUUUUUUGACAAACUUGACCUCAAAUCAGGUAGGACUACCCGCUGAACUUAA
RNAcentral lists this unclassified non-coding RNA (288 nucleotides) under Mortierella sp. RNAcentral's name for it is "partial contains 5.8S ribosomal RNA, internal transcribed spacer 2, and large subunit ribosomal RNA". The stretch from base 1 to 52 matches the Rfam family "5.8S ribosomal RNA", at positions 103 to 154 of the family's 154-position model. Lineage: Eukaryota; Fungi; Mortierellomycota; Mortierellomycetes; Mortierellales; Mortierellaceae. The record is from RNAcentral.